This 206-nucleotide long non-coding RNA is filed under the name Lathyrus oleraceus (garden pea). Its description in RNAcentral is "Pisum sativum (pea) long non-coding RNA (PSAT_LNC006807)". The record is from RNAcentral. Lineage: Eukaryota; Viridiplantae; Streptophyta; Magnoliopsida; Fabales; Fabaceae.
CUUGGCCAUCAGAUCUGCCACCUCAAUUAAUGAGGAAGAUCUGAUGGCCCUUGUUUUUUUGCUUUUUCUUUUUUAUUUUGAUUUUAUGUUUAAUCCAUUUAUUUUAUUUUAUUCAUAGAAAUUUCAUUUUUAAUCCAAAAAAUAUGGGACUUUCACCAAAAAUCUUUAAAUAUUUUUCUCUUCCAUAUUUCGAAUUAAAAUCAUUU